UGCCUAUAAUGCAGUCGAGCGCAGGAAGCAGGCAGAUCCCCUUCGGGGGUGAUGCCUGUGGAAUGAGCGGCGGACGGGUGAGUAACACGUGGGCAACCUGCCUGUAAGAUCGGAAUAACUCCGGGAAACCGGGGCUAAUGCCGGGUAAUCCUUUUUUUCGCAUGAGAGAGAGGUAAAAGAUGGCCUUUGGCUAUCACUUACAGAUGGGCCCGCGGCGCAUUAGCUAGUUGGUGAGGUAAUAGCUCACCAAGGCGACGAUGCGUAGCCGACCUGAGAGGGUGAUCGGCCACACUGGGACUGAGACACGGCCCAGACUCCUACGGGAGGCAGCAGUAGGGAAUCUUCCGAUCUAAUGGACGAAAGUCUGACGGAGCAACGCCGCGUGAACGAUGAAGGUCUUCGGAUCGUAAAGUUCUGUUGUUAGGGAUAGAACAAGUACCGUAGCGAAURGAGCGGUACCUUGACGGUACCUAACRAGSAAGCCCCGGCUAACUACGUGCCAGCAGGCCGCRGUAAUAACGUAGGGGGCAAGCGUUGUCMGGUAAUUAUUKGGCGGUAAAGCGCGCGCAGGCGGUUUCUUAAGUCUGAUGUGAMAGCCCACGGCUCAACCGUGGAGGGUCAUUGGAAACUGGGGAACUUGAGGACAGAAGAGGAGAGUGGAAUUCCACGUGUAGCGGUGAAAUGCGUAGAUAUGUGGAGGAACACCAGUGGCGAAGGCGACUCUCUGGUCUGUUUCUGACGCUGAGGUGCGAAAGCGUGGGUAGCAAACAGGAUUAGAUACCCUGGUAGUCCACGCCGUAAACGAUGAGUGCUAGGUGUUAGGGGGCUUCCACCCCCUUAGUGCUGAAGUUAACGCAUUAAGCACUCCGCCUGGGGAGUACGGCCGCAAGGCUGAAACUCAAAGAGAAUUGACGGGGGCCCGCACAAGCSGUGGAGCAUGUUGGUUUAWUUCGAAGCAACGCGAAGAACCUWACCAGGUCUUGACAUSCUUGGACSGCCCUAGAGAUAAGGCGUCUUCCCUUCGGGGACSAAGUGACAGGUGGUGCAUGGUUGCUCGUCAGCUCCGUGUCGGUGACCGAYCGAYUGGGUUAASUYCUCGCAACGAGCGGCCAAGCCCCUAAUCUUAGUUGCCAGCAUUGAGUUGGGCACUCUAAGGUGACUGCCGGUGACAAACCGGAGGAAGGCGGGGAUGACGUCAAAUCAUCAUGCCCCUUAUGACCUGGGCUACACACGUGCUACAAUGGAUGGUACAAAGGGCAGCGAAGCCGCAAGGUGUAGCAAAUCCCAUAAAACCAUUCUCAGUUCGGAUUGCAGGCUGCAACUCGCCUGCAUGAAGCCGGAAUCGCUAGUAAUCGCGGAUCAGCAUGCCGCGGUGAAUACGUUCCCGGGCCUUGUACACACCGCCCGUCACACCACGAGAGUUGGCAACACCCGAAGUCGGUGAGGUAACCUUUAUGGAGCCAGCCGCCGGU
Molecule: ribosomal RNA, 1472 nt
Filed under: Halobacillus hunanensis
Lineage: Bacteria; Bacillati; Bacillota; Bacilli; Caryophanales; Bacillaceae
Description: bacterial SSU rRNA
Rfam family: Bacterial small subunit ribosomal RNA
Source: RNAcentral